RNAcentral lists this ribosomal RNA (468 nucleotides) under uncultured bacterium. Its description in RNAcentral is "partial 16S ribosomal RNA". It matches the Rfam family "Bacterial small subunit ribosomal RNA", at positions 28 to 507 of the family's 1533-position model. The record is from RNAcentral.
GACGAACGCUGGCGGCGUGCUUAACACAUGCAAGUCGAACGGAAAGGCCCUGCUUUUGUGGGGUGCUCGAGUGGCGAACGGGUGAGUAACACGUGAGUAACCUGCCCUUGACUUUGGGAUAACUUCAGGAAACUGGGGCUAAUACCGGAUAGGAGCUCCUGCUGCAUGGUGGGGGUUGGAAAGUUUCGGCGGUUGGGGAUGGACUCGCGGCUUAUCAGCUUGUUGGUGGGGUAGUGGCUUACCAAGGCUUUGACGGGUAGCCGGCCUGAGAGGGUGACCGGCCACAUUGGGACUGAGAUACGGCCCAGACUCCUACGGGAGGCAGCAGUGGGGAAUAGUGCACAAUGGGCGGAAGCCUGAUGCAGCAACGCCGCGUGCAGGAUGACGGCCUUCGGGUUGUAAACCGCUUUCGCCUGUGACGAAGCGUGAGUGACGGUAAUGGGUAAAGAAGCACCGGCUAACUACGUG